AGAGUUUGAUCAUGGCUCAGAUUGAACGCUGGCGGCAGGCCUAACACAUGCAAGUCGAACGGUAACAGGAAGCAGCUUGCUGCUUUGCUGACGAGUGGCGGACGGGUGAGUAAUGUCUGGGAAACUGCCUGAUGGAGGGGGAUAACUACUGGAAACGGUGGCUAAUACCGCAUAACGUCGCAAGACCAAAGAGGGGGACCUUCGGGCCUCUUGCCAUCAGAUGGCCCAGAUGGGAUUAGCUUGUUGGUGAGGUAACGGCUCACCAAGGCGACGAUCCCUAGCUGGUCUGAGAGGAUGACCAGCCACACUGGAACUGAGACACGGUCCAGACUCCUACGGGAGGCAGCAGUGGGGAAUAUUGCACAAUGGGCGCAUGCAGCCAUGCCGCGUGUAUGAAGAAGGCCUUCGGGUUGUAAAGUACUUUCAGCGGGGAGGAAGGUGUUGUGGUUAAUAACCGCAGCAAUUGACGUUACCCGCAGAAGAAGCACCGGCUAACUCCGUGCCAGCAGCCGCGGUAAUACGGAGGGUGCAAGCGUUAAUCGGAAUUACUGGGCGUAAAGCGCACGCAGGCGGUCUGUCAAGUCGGAUGUGAAAUCCCCGGGCUCAACCUGGGAACUGCAUUCGAAACUGGCAGGCUUGAGUCUUGUAGAGGGGGGUAGAAUUCCAGGUGUAGCGGUGAAAUGCGUAGAGAUCUGGAGGAAUACCGGUGGCGAAGGCGGCCCCUGGACAAAGACUGACGCUCAGGUGCGAAAGCGUGGGGAGCAAACAGGAUUAGAUACCCUGGUAGUCCACGCCGUAAACGAUGUCUACUUGGAGGUUGUGCCCUUGAGGCGUGGCUUCCGGAGCUAACGCGUUAAGUAGACCGCCUGGGGAGUACGGCCGCAAGGUUAAAACUCAAAUGAAUUGACGGGGGCCCGCACAAGCGGUGGAGCAUGUGGUUUAAUUCGAUGCAACGCGAAGAACCUUACCUGGUCUUGACAUCCACAGAACUUUCCAGAGAUGGAUUGGUGCCUUCGGGAACUGUGAGACAGGUGCUGCAUGGCUGUCGUCAGCUCGUGUUGUGAAAUGUUGGGUUAAGUCCCGCAACGAGCGCAACCCUUAUCCUUUGUUGCCAGCGGUCCGGCCGGGAACUCAAAGGAGACUGCCAGUGAUAAACUGGAGGAAGGUGGGGAUGACGUCAAGUCAUCAUGGCCCUUACGACCAGGGCUACACACGUGCUACAAUGGCGCAUACAAAGAGAAGCGACCUCGCGAGAGCAAGCGGACCUCAUAAAGUGCGUCGUAGUCCGGAUUGGAGUCUGCAACUCGACUCCAUGAAGUCGGAAUCGCUAGUAAUCGUGGAUCAGAAUGCCACGGUGAAUACGUUCCCGGGCCUUGUACACACCGCCCGUCACACCAUGGGAGUGGGUUGCAAAAGAAGUAGGUAGCUUAACCUUCGGGGGGGCGCUUACCACUUUGUGAUUCAUGACUGGGGUGAAGUCGUAACAAGGUAACCGUAGGGGAACCUGCGGUUG
RNAcentral lists this ribosomal RNA (1513 nucleotides) under Salmonella enterica subsp. enterica serovar Typhi. Its description in RNAcentral is "bacterial SSU rRNA". It matches the Rfam family "Bacterial small subunit ribosomal RNA". Lineage: Bacteria; Pseudomonadati; Pseudomonadota; Gammaproteobacteria; Enterobacterales; Enterobacteriaceae. The record is from RNAcentral.